UAAUACAGAGGUGCCGAGCGUUAGGCGGAAUCACUGGGCUUAAAGCGUGUGUAGGCGGAUGCCUAAGUACCUUGUGAAAUCCCACGGCUUAACCGUGGAACUGCUCGGUAUACUGGGUGUCUUGAGCCACUUAGGGGUUACCGGAACAAAUGGUGGAGCGGUGAAAUGCGUAGAUAUCAUUUGGAACGCCAAUGGUGAAAACAGGUAACUGGGAGUGUGCUGACGCUGAGACACGAAAGCCAGGGGAGCGAACGGGAUUAGAUACCCCGGUAGUCCUGGCCGUAAACGAUGUCGACUAGAUCGUGGUGGCUCUGACGCCAUCACGGUCGAAGCAAAAGUGCUAAGUCGACCGCCUGGGAAGUACGGUCGCAAGGCUA
This 377-nucleotide ribosomal RNA is filed under the name uncultured bacterium. RNAcentral's name for it is "bacterial SSU rRNA". It matches the Rfam family "Bacterial small subunit ribosomal RNA", at positions 521 to 896 of the family's 1533-position model. The record is from RNAcentral.